UACGUAGGGUCCGAGCGUUGUCCGGAAUUAUUGGGCGUAAAGGGCUCGUAGGCGGUCUGUUGCGUCGGGAGUGAGAACUUACAGCUUAACUGUGAGCGUGCUUUCGAUACGGGCAGACUUGAGGCACUCAGGGGAGAACGGAAUUCCUGGUGUAGCGGUGAAAUGCGCAGAUAUCAGGAGGAACACCGGUGGCGAAGGCGGUUCUCUGGGAAUGUCCUGACGCUGAGGAGCGAAAGUGUGGGGAGCGAACAGG
RNAcentral lists this ribosomal RNA (253 nucleotides) under uncultured bacterium. RNAcentral's name for it is "partial 16S ribosomal RNA". It matches the Rfam family "Bacterial small subunit ribosomal RNA", at positions 524 to 776 of the family's 1533-position model. The record is from RNAcentral.